This 433-nucleotide ribosomal RNA is filed under the name uncultured bacterium. RNAcentral's name for it is "partial 16S ribosomal RNA". It matches the Rfam family "Bacterial small subunit ribosomal RNA", at positions 29 to 507 of the family's 1533-position model. The record is from RNAcentral.
GCGCACGCUGGCGGCAGGCCUAACACAUGCAAGUCGCACGAACCUUUCGGGGUUAGUGGCGGACGGGUGAGUAGCACGUGGGAACGUGCCUUUAGGUUCGGAAUAACUCAGGGAAACUUGUGCUAAUACCGAAUGUGCCCUUCGGGGGAAAGAUUAAUCGCCUUUAGAGCGGCCCGCGUCUGAUUAGCUAGUUGGUUGAGGUAAUGGCUCACCAAGGCGACGAUCAGUAGCUGGUCUGAGAGGAUGAUCAGCCACAUUGGGACUGAGACACGGCCCAAACUCCUACGGGAGGCAGCAGUGGGGAAUCUUGCGCAAUGGGCGAAAGCCUGACGCAGCCAUGCCGCGUGAAUGAUGAAGGUCUUAGGAUUGUAAAAUUCUUUCACCGGGGACGAUAAUGACGGUACCCGGAGAAGAAGCCCCGGCUAACUUCGUG